AGCCGACCUGAGAGGGUGAUCGGCCACACUGGGACUGAGACACGGCCCAGACUCCUACGGGAGGCAGCAGUAGGGAAUCUUCCGCAAUGGACGAAAGUCUGACGGAGCAACGCCGCGUGAGUGAUGAAGGUUUUCGGAUCGUAAAACUCUGUUGUUAGGGAAGAACAAGUGCGAGAGUAACUGCUCGCACCUUGACGGUACCUAACCAGAAAGCCACGGCUAACUACGUGCCAGCAGCCGCGGUAAUACGUAGGUGGCAAGCGUUGUCCGGAAUUAUUGGGCGUAAAGCGCGCGCAGGCGGUUUCUUAAGUCUGAUGUGAAAGCCCCCGGCUCAACCGGGGAGGGUCAUUGGAAACUGGGAAACUUGAGUGCAGAAGAGGAGAGUGGAAUUCCACGUGUAGCGGUGAAAUGCGUAGAGAUGUGGAGGAACACCAGUGGCGAAGGCGACUCUCUGGUCUGUAACUGACGCUGAGGCGCGAAAGCGUGGGGAGCGAACAGGAUUAGAUACCCUGGUAGUCCACGCCGU
This 526-nucleotide ribosomal RNA is filed under the name Bacillus sp. (in: firmicutes). Its description in RNAcentral is "bacterial SSU rRNA". It matches the Rfam family "Bacterial small subunit ribosomal RNA", at positions 285 to 803 of the family's 1533-position model. The record is from RNAcentral. Lineage: Bacteria; Bacillati; Bacillota; Bacilli; Caryophanales; Bacillaceae.